This 1147-nucleotide ribosomal RNA is filed under the name bacterium 1A-1-10-2. RNAcentral describes it as "bacterial SSU rRNA". It matches the Rfam family "Bacterial small subunit ribosomal RNA", at positions 33 to 1165 of the family's 1533-position model. The record is from RNAcentral.
UUGUUAGCCAAGGACGCGGUGAGACACGCCAGUCGAGCGGAACGAGUUAACUGAACCUUCGGGGGAUGGUAACGGCGUCGAGCGGCGGACGGGUGAGUAAUGCCUAGGAAGUUGCCCAGUAGAGGGGGAUAACCAUUGGAAACGAUGGCUAAUACCGCAUAACCUCUUCGGAGCAAAGCAGGGGACCUUCGGGCCUUGCGCUAUUGGAUACGCCUAGGUGGGAUUAGCUAGUUGGUGAGGUAAUGGCUCACCAAGGCGACGAUCCCUAGCUGGUCUGAGAGGAUGAUCAGCCACACUGGAACUGAGACACGGUCCAGACUCCUACGGGAGGCAGCAGUGGGGAAUAUUGCACAAUGGGCGAAAGCCUGAUGCAGCCAUGCCGCGUGUGUGAAGAAGGCCUUCGGGUUGUAAAGCACUUUCAGCAGUGAGGAAGGCAUUAAGAUUAAUACUCUUAGUGUUUGACGUUAGCUGCAGAAGAAGCACCGGCUAACUCCGUGCCAGCAGCCGCGGUAAUACGGAGGGUGCGAGCGUUAAUCGGAAUUACUGGGCGUAAAGCGCAUGCAGGUGGUGGAUUAAGUCAGAUGUGAAAGCCCGGGGCUCAACCUCGGAACUGCAUUUGAAACUGGUUCACUAGAGUACUGUAGAGGGGGGUAGAAUUUCAGGUGUAGCGGUGAAAUGCGUAGAGAUCUGAAGGAAUACCGGUGGCGAAGGCGGCCCCCUGACAGAUACUGACACUCAGAUGCGAAAGCGUGGGGAGCAAACAGGAUUAGAUACCCUGUAGUCCACGCGUAAACGAUGUCUACUUGGAGGUUGUGGCCUUGAGCCGUGCUUUCGGAGCUAACGCGUUAAGUAGACCGCCUGGGGAGUACGGUCGCAAGAUUAAAACUCAAAUGAAUUGACGGGGGCCCGCACAAGCCGUGCAGCAUGUGUUUUAUUUCGAUGCAACGCGAAGAACCUUACCCUACUCUGACAUCCAGAGUACCUUGCAGAGAUGGAUGGUGCAUUCGGAACUCUGGAGAACAGGUAGCUGCAUGCUGUCGUCAGCUCGUGAAUGUGCAAAUGAUAGGCUAGUUCCCCGAUACCGGAGCGCAGCCUGAUCCUGUAUGGCCAAUGCGAGUAAUGUGCGGUAACUUCCAGGGAGAACUUG